CCUGGUGGCUUAGACAGUAAAGCGUCUGCCUGCAAUGCGGGAGACCUGGGUUCAAUUCCUGGGUCAGGA
RNAcentral lists this transfer RNA (69 nucleotides) under Bos taurus (domestic cattle). It matches the Rfam family "tRNA". From Rfam's summary of the family: Transfer RNA (tRNA) molecules are approximately 80 nucleotides in length. The record is from Rfam by way of RNAcentral. Lineage: Eukaryota; Metazoa; Chordata; Mammalia; Artiodactyla; Bovidae. RNAcentral also lists the same sequence under 2 other names.